RNAcentral lists this unclassified non-coding RNA (391 nucleotides) under soil metagenome. Its description in RNAcentral is "partial contains 5.8S ribosomal RNA, internal transcribed spacer 2, and large subunit ribosomal RNA". The stretch from base 1 to 122 matches the Rfam family "5.8S ribosomal RNA", at positions 35 to 154 of the family's 154-position model. The record is from RNAcentral.
GAUGAAGAACGUAGCGAAAUGCGAUACUUGGUGUGAAUUGCAGAAUCCCGUGAACCAUCGAGUCUUUGAACGCAAGUUGCGCCCGAAGCCACUAGGCCGAGGGCACGCCUGCCUGGGCGUCACACGCCGUUGCCCCCCCAUCUACUCCUUCGGGAGUGCGGGGGGGCGGAUGAUGGCCUCCCGUGCGCCUAGCCGCGCGGUUGGCAUAAAUACCAAGUCCUCGGCGACGCACGCCACGACAAUCGGUGGUUGCGAAACCUCGGUUGCCCGUCGUGUGCGUUCGUCGCGCAUCGAGGGCUCGAAAAAAUGCUCGGCUCCGGCUGGGCUUUCAACGCGACCCCAGGUCAGGCGGGGUUACCCGCUGAAUUUAAGCAUAUCAAUAAGCGGAGGA